RNAcentral lists this ribosomal RNA (348 nucleotides) under uncultured Glomeromycotina. RNAcentral's name for it is "eukaryotic LSU rRNA". Lineage: Eukaryota; Fungi; Glomeromycota. The record is from RNAcentral.
UUGAAAGGGAAACGAUUGAAGUCAGUCGAGCUGGCACAAAUCAGCUUUCGCACUAAGGCAAUUGCGUCUUGGCGAGCCUUAAAACCGUCAUGGGGUAUAUAUUCCUUGUGCGGCGGUGCACUUUUGUAUCAGCUGGUUAGCAUCAAUUUCGAUUGUCAUAAAAAGGCUGUAGGGAUGUGGCUCCUUCAGGAGUGUUAUAACCUUUGGCGGAAUGUGGUGGUCGGGAUUGAGGAUUGCAACGAAUGCCUUUAGAGCUGUUCCGCCUGGCCUCGUCUCAUUGGUAUCCUGGUUAGGAUCCGCCUUUGAGCAGGCUAUAGUAUGAGCAAAUUCGUUAAGGAUGUUGACGUA